Molecule: ribosomal RNA, 481 nt
Filed under: uncultured bacterium
Lineage: Bacteria
Description: partial 16S ribosomal RNA
Rfam family: Bacterial small subunit ribosomal RNA
Source: RNAcentral
GAUGAACGCUGGCGGCGUGCUUAACACAUGCAAGUCGAACGAAGCAUUUGCGACAGAUUUUUUCGGAAUGAAGUUGCUUAUGACUGAGUGGCGGACGGGUGAGUAACGCGUGGGUAACCUGCCUUGUACUGGGGGAUAGCAGCUGGAAACGGCUGGUAAUACCGCAUAAGCGCACAAUGUUGCAUGACAUGGUGUGAAAAACUCCGGUGGUAUAAGAUGGACCCGCGUCUGAUUAGCUAGUUGGUGAGAUAACAGCCCACCAAGGCGACGAUCAGUAGCCGACCUGAGAGGGUGACCGGCCACAUUGGGACUGAGACACGGCCCAGACUCCUACGGGAGGCAGCAGUGGGGAAUAUUGCACAAUGGAGGAAACUCUGAUGCAGCGACGACGCGUGAGUGAAGAAGUAAUUCGUUAUGUAAAGCUCUAUCAGCAGGGAAGAUAGUGACGGUACCUGACUAAGAAGCUCCGGCUAAAUACGUG